GAUGAACGCUGGCGGCGUGCCUAAUACAUGCAAGUCGAGCGAACGGACGAGAAGCUUGCUUUUCUGAUGUUAGCGGCGGACGGGUGAGUAACACGUGGAUAACCUACCUAUAAGACUGGGAUAACUUCGGGAAACCGGAGCUAAUACCGGAUAAUAUUUUGAACCGCAUGGUUCAAAAGUGAAAGGCGGUCUUGCUGUCACUUAUAGAUGGAUCCGCGCUGCAUUAGCUAGUUGGUAAGGUAACGGCUUACCAAGGCAACGAUGCAUAGCCGACCUGAGAGGGUGAUCGGCCACACUGGAACUGAGACACGGUCCAGACUCCUACGGGAGGCAGCAGUAGGGAAUCUUCCGCAAUGGGCGAAAGCCUGACGGAGCAACGCCGCGUGAGUGAUGAAGGUCUUCGGAUCGUAAAACUCUGUUAUUAGGGAGGAACAUAUGUGUAAGUAACUGUGCACAUCUUGACGGUACCUAAUCAGAAAGCCACGGCUAACUACGUG
This 497-nucleotide ribosomal RNA is filed under the name uncultured bacterium. RNAcentral describes it as "partial 16S ribosomal RNA". It matches the Rfam family "Bacterial small subunit ribosomal RNA", at positions 28 to 507 of the family's 1533-position model. The record is from RNAcentral.